RNAcentral lists this ribosomal RNA (776 nucleotides) under uncultured Neocallimastigales. RNAcentral's name for it is "partial large subunit ribosomal RNA". It matches the Rfam family "Eukaryotic large subunit ribosomal RNA", at positions 18 to 643 of the family's 3401-position model. The record is from RNAcentral. Lineage: Eukaryota; Fungi; Neocallimastigomycota; Neocallimastigomycetes; Neocallimastigales.
UCAGACGAUGCGUCAUGCAUAUCAAUAAGCGGAGGAAAAGAAACUAACAAGGAUUCCCCUAGUAACGGCGAGUGAAGCGGGAAGAGCUCAAAUUUGAAAUCUUAAAGGGUUUCCCUUUACGAAUUGUAGUUUAAAGAAGUGUUUUCUGUUGAGGUUUUGGUAAAAGUUCUUUGGAAUAGGACAUCAUAGAGGGUGAGAAUCCCGUAUUUGACCUUUACUUUCAACUUUGUGAUACACUUUCAAAGAGUCGGAUUGUUUGGGAAUGCAGUCCAAAAUGGGUGGUAAAUUUCAUCUAAAGCUAAAUAUUGGCGAGAGACCGAUAGCGAACAAGUACCGUGAGGGAAAGAUGAAAAGAACUUUGAAAAGAGAGUUAAACAGUACGUGAAAUUGUCAAAAGGGAAGCGUUUGACACCAGUGUUGUUUUUCUGAGAAUCAAUUAAAGAACUGUUUAUGCUAAGCUUGUUUAGACUUUAUCAGCUAUACUGUUUAGUUUUGAGCUUUUCUUUAAUGCACUUUUCAGUUAACAAGUCAACAUCAAUUUCUUUUGCUGUAAAAAAGCUUGAGGAAGGUGGCUUGAGAUUCGUCUUAAGUGUUUAUAGCCUCUUGCCUAUGCAGUCGGAGAGAUUGAGGUCUGCAGCGUAGAUCCUUCGGGGCUAAAUGCAUUUGUGCUAAGUUAUAGCAUUUUAUAGACAACUUGUUGACUAUGAUUUGUCUUGUAGCUUACUCGCUUAUGUUAUUUUACCUACGCUUAGGAUGUUGACACACGCGCGUGCUCG